UGAGCUAUAUCCCCCCGAGCCGAGUGAAGCAUGCAUCUCCGGGUCAGGCGCCGAUGAGCACAUUGAACUAUCC
Molecule: transfer RNA, 73 nt
Filed under: Paphiopedilum armeniacum
Lineage: Eukaryota; Viridiplantae; Streptophyta; Magnoliopsida; Asparagales; Orchidaceae
Also listed under: 2 other names
Description: tRNA-Ile
Source: RNAcentral